RNAcentral lists this ribosomal RNA (253 nucleotides) under uncultured bacterium. RNAcentral's name for it is "partial 16S ribosomal RNA". It matches the Rfam family "Bacterial small subunit ribosomal RNA", at positions 524 to 776 of the family's 1533-position model. The record is from RNAcentral.
UACGUAGGGCGCAAGCGUUAUCCGGAAUUAUUGGGCGUAAAGAGCUCGUAGGCGGUUUGUCGCGUCUGCCGUGAAAGUCCGGGGCUUAACUCCGGCUCUGCGGUGGGUACGGGCAGACUAGAGUGCAGUAGGGGAGACUGGAAUUCCUGGUGUAGCGGUGAAAUGCGCAGAUAUCAGGAGGAACACCGAUGGCGAAGGCAGGUCUCUGGGCUGUAACUGACGCUGAGGAGCGAAAGCAUGGGGAGCGAACAGG